CGAGCGAUGGAGCUAUGGGAUGUGUGGUGGAGCUGUGUUUUCUUAUGGGGCUAGCGCCGCUACUGUUGGAACACGCCAGCCGCAGGAGUAGCGGGGGUGGAGACUGAAGGCGGAGGAAGCUGCGAGGAUUGUCGCCGGUGGAUUCAUGAGGAUGAUCUGCGGAGGAAGGGAGCGAAUUCGGCAGCUGUCUUACGGAUCGAUCUCGGCAACCCUCCUCCACCCCAAGCUCCACCAGUUCCUCAUCAGGACAAGGCCUCUCAUCCCCUGCUCUUCUGCUCCUUCACCACCGCCACCAGGUCUAGACCCGGGGGAUUCCUGCCUAAGCGGCCUCAUCUCCUGUCCUUUCCCCCUUCGGUUGUCGGUCAUCGCAUCGGGGACUAGAACGCC
Long non-coding RNA from Parambassis ranga (Indian glassy fish), 387 nucleotides. Lineage: Eukaryota; Metazoa; Chordata; Actinopteri; Ambassidae. The record is from Ensembl.